CUUUUUCUUUAAAGUAAAUAUAGCAAUCCAAAAAGGAAUUAAAUACUAACCUUCCAAAAUGCUACCAUAGGCUAAUGUGCAAAAGCAAUCUGUGUAGACAGCAGCAACGGAAGCUUUUAUGGCCUGCUUCUCUUCCUCCAGAUCUGAACGUGCAGCUAUUUUAGAGACUGAUCACAAUGUCACUUCAAGCCUUUGCAACUCUUCUGGCACCAGAGAGAGAAGCUAAUGUGACUCAUUCCGGAGAAGCUCAAAAUACUCCUAUUUAAAAGUCAGAUGCAGACUUACUACAGUGGUGCAUUCCAGAAUUAUCACAAUUCCUUCAGUAGUGAAAACUCUUGUUACCUGAUAAUAGUCUUGAAGAAAUUUUGGACAGAGCAAGGAAGACCCAAAACCUGAUGGAAUCAUUCUUUCUCCCCCAUUUCAAAAUUCCCUAUGGACAGACCAGAUGGUCAAGCUUCUAUGGCUCUUCCUGACUUUGAAGACAGUCACCAUCCUUGACUGCUGACCUUUUGAGGUGAGUAGUAAGGCAGGAUUAUGUCUCAGCAGUGAUUUUUGUUUGUUUUUCUCAUACCAACAACACACUAAUAAUUAAUGACUGCUCCACAGUUAGAAAGGGCAUACCUGCUGUACCCAAUGAAUUUGAUCCCAUUGAACUC
This 656-nucleotide long non-coding RNA is filed under the name Anser brachyrhynchus (Pink-footed goose). Its description in RNAcentral is "lncRNA (ENSABRG00000008881.1)". The record is from RNAcentral. Lineage: Eukaryota; Metazoa; Chordata; Aves; Anseriformes; Anatidae.